This 254-nucleotide ribosomal RNA is filed under the name uncultured bacterium. Its description in RNAcentral is "partial 16S ribosomal RNA". It matches the Rfam family "Bacterial small subunit ribosomal RNA", at positions 524 to 776 of the family's 1533-position model. The record is from RNAcentral.
UACGGGGGGAGCAAGCGUUGUUCGGAUUUACUGGGCGUAAAGGGCGCGUAGGCGGCCACUGCAAGUCGGUUGUGAAAUCUCCGGGCUUAACCCGGAAAGGUCAACCGAUACUGCAGGGCUAGAGUGCAGAAGGGGCAACUGGAAUUCUCGGUGUAGCGGUGAAAUGCGUAGAGAUGCGGAGGAACACCAGUGGCGAAAGCGGCUUUCUGGUCCUUAACUGACGCUGAGGCGCGAAAGCAUGGGGAGCGAACGGG